This is a non-coding RNA of Phoenix dactylifera (date palm), 2354 nucleotides long. The record is from RefSeq and is a predicted model, not a curated record. NCBI's taxonomy places the organism in Eukaryota, Viridiplantae, Streptophyta, Magnoliopsida, Arecales, Arecaceae.
CCCCCCCUCUCCCCACGCGAUCCCUAACCCCUCCUCCUCCUUCCUAACCCAAAUCCAACAAAUCCCUAACCAGAAGGCCAUCCACAGCAGGGAUGACCGUCCGGAUUCCGGACAGCCUUAUCCACACCGUGGGGACAUCUAGCGGCUCUCCGAUUUCCACUAUUUCUUCUCACCACCAUUUUAUCCUCUCUCCUUUGCGUUAACUCCAAAACCCUUGCUUCCCCAAUCCCUCUCCUCUCGAAACUCUAGCUCCCAUGGCGGCCCUCCUAUCCUCCCAGUCCCAGCGCCGCUUCUCCGCUGCCGCCCCAAGAUCCUCCAUUUCGGCAAGGCGGAGCUGCUUCGAUGGCCACCGGAGACCCCUCUGGUUUCGUCGCCUAGGGUUCUGCUGCUCUUCUUCUCCAUCGGGGUUUUGCAAACUCGAUUCCGGAUGGGGAGAGAGAAUUGCUCUCUAAGGAACGGAAAAACCUGUUUUGGGAGUUUACUGAUCUCUGGUUAGAACCAGAUAAAGGCUCAGAUUGUUUGACAGCCAAAUGCUGCAUUCACAAAAUUGUCCAUGAUGGGCGCUUGCUUCUAAGUGAACCCUUGGGAUCAGUUUUUGAAUUUUCUCUUAUGCUUCGGUUAGCAUCUCCUACACUAGUGCUCUACUGGCAGUUGGCGGAGGAUUCUUUAUCUUCUUAUCCUUCUGACGACGAAACCAACUCAGAACAUGUUAUGGGAGACUUGUCAGAGCCAAUUUCAAUAGUCAAGGCAGAACCUUUUCUCAUAUGCAGAAACCUGUGAAGCCCUGGAGGAAGUAGUUGCUGGGUAGAUACUGGUAGUGCACUACUGUUCAAUGUUACUGAUCUUCUUUCAUGGCUUGACACUUCAGCCAAACUUGAGGUUAUAUGUUUAUUUGGAUUUCACCAGAGCUAUGGGAUCUGCUGAGUAGGCUGAACUUUUUGAUUUUGAUCACAUAUAUUUUGGUUCAAGUAUUGCCAGUCCAGUUGCUAUUCUAUAUGGAGCUCUUGGACCAGAAUGCUUUAGAGAGUUUCAUGUUACCUUGGUGGAAGCAUCAAAAAAAGAAGAAGAACUCAUUUCACCUAAAGGAAUGUGCAGUUUCCAUAGCAUUGGCAAUUGGAUUGGUCACUGGUGUUCCUACAUUGGACUGGCCUGCACAUGCAUCCCCUUGAGGCCCUGUGCUGCCUGAUCUGUCAGUGCUAAUUUCUGGACCACCUAUUAAGGAUCCUGGUGCCUUGUUGAGGUAUGCAUUGCCAAUCAAUAACAAAGCCAUUCGGGAGGUUCAAAAGCCUCUUGAGGAUAUCACAGACAGUCUCAACGUCUCCGGGGUUAGAGCAUUGGAUUUAGUUGAGAGAGUAAGCAUAACUAAAAAAAUCUUAUUCUGAGAUCUUAUUUGCUAUUCCUUACAACUUCUGCAGUCACUCAAGUGAUUUUUGUUUUAUAAUUACUGAAUUAUACAUGUACAGUAUGUCAUGUAAAAUGAUGUUCUUAAAUGAGUACAUUGUGCUCAUCUUUGGCUUUGCUUUACAAAAAGCAGUUUCACCAUUCUUCAACUUAAAAAUAAAAAGGAAUGAGUUUGAAAGAAGCUGAUUUUCAUAAUGCUUAAUAAAAAGUGCUGCUCACACAAGCACAGGUCAAAUAGCUUCUUCUACGAGAUGCUAGAGAAACUAGUUUUCAUUUCAUGCUUGUAUCGAUCACAUUAUGUUUUCAUAAAUAUAAUUGGAUUUGCCUCACCUAAGAGCAGGAAUAGUGGAUAUGCAAAUGGAUUAGACAAACUUAAAGUUAACCAACUCAAUGUGCACCCAAACCUGAAACUUGAUUAUGUUGGUCAUCUCAAAGUCCUUAAUCCAAACCAAAAUCUCAAUGAAGUUGGACUCUAAGUCCAUGUUAGUUACAUACAGCCCAGUUGAAACCAAAUAGACUGAAAACUACUUCCAUCUUUGUGCUAGCAAACACCAAACAAGCUCAACAUGAGUGAGCUGACCAAUAUCAACUGGCGGACAAAGUACUCAGCUGAAUACUCCAAAAAAGAAAAGCUUGAGUACAAUCAUUGUUCAGGAUCUCAGUCAUUUGUUGCAACAAUAACUAUACCGGUAACUAACAGGAGAGGAGCUGCGGAGGCAAUUGGAGCAGGAGAGGAGAGAGCAUGAGGAGGAAAGGAAAGAGCGAGAGGAAGAACAGAAGCAAAUUGCACAUCUUACAAGUUUGGUGACAAAGUUCUUAAAGAAAAAGACUCAAACGCACAAGUCAUCUAUCCAUCAUGAUGGGGCCAUGUAUUCAACUGGUGGUACAAAUACUCGUUGAUACAUCGUGGAGUUAUGAGCAUGUGAAAUCUAGUUUUUGGUACAUGGAUAGCU